This 314-nucleotide ribosomal RNA is filed under the name uncultured bacterium. RNAcentral describes it as "bacterial SSU rRNA". It matches the Rfam family "Bacterial small subunit ribosomal RNA", at positions 8 to 334 of the family's 1533-position model. The record is from RNAcentral.
AGGGUUUGAUUUGGCUCAGGAUGAACGCUGGCGGCGUGCCUAACACAUGCAAGUCGAGCGAACCCUUCGGGGUGAGCGGCGGACGGGUGAGUAACGCGUGGGUAACCUGCCCUGUACACACGGAUAACAUACCGAAAGGUAUGCUAAUACGAGAUAAUAUAUUUUAAUCGCAUGGUUAAGAUAUCAAAGCUCCGGCGGUACAGGAUGGACCCGCGUCUGAUUAGCUAGUUGGUGAGGUAAUGGCUCACCAAGGCGACGAUCAGUAGCCGACCUGAGAGGGUGAUCGGCCACACUGGAACUGAGACACGGUCCAG